Long non-coding RNA from Armigeres subalbatus, 743 nucleotides. RefSeq lists it as uncharacterized. The record is from RefSeq and is a predicted model, not a curated record. NCBI's taxonomy places the organism in Eukaryota, Metazoa, Arthropoda, Insecta, Diptera, Culicidae. The transcript is spliced from 3 exons.
UCAGUGAGAGAAUCUUUAGAACCUUAGCUUCUAACAACUGGUGAAGUAUAAAACAGCAAGAAAGUGAGACAUUGCCGGUAAUUCCAUAUCCAGCCUGCCAUUCAUUUCGUCAAUUGACGGCUCGCGAGGUUGCUGACUGGCAUUGCCGCGAGUAGGAAAUCCCUCUAAUCCCUGGGUCGGUAAAUGCUGACGACGAGUUCCGAUUCUAAUUGGAAACGCGUUAACCAUGGCCCAUCGAAAUCAACUACGUUUGAGUAAGGAACGAAACCCUUUCGACGGUCCAAUAAUACAAUGGAGCAGGCAACAGCCGCAGCAAGCGAGAAGUCCCAGUUGUGACGAAUUUCAUGGAUUUACGGAAGCAGAAUUGAAAAGAGGAAAGAAGCGUAAAUACGCUGUGGAGGGUAAUGAAAUGCCUGUAGGCUCACCGAUCAGGCGAUCGAAAAGGUUGAAAAGGACGAGAAAGAUAGAUGAUAAUUUUGUAUACUCAAGUUAAAAUAAUGUGAAAUUGAUCACGUUCGAAUUAAUUAUAAUUUUAAUAAUGUACCCUUGAAUUAAAAAUAAUUUUGAAUUUUACUAAAAUACAGUUAUAAGAAUCUUUCUAAAUGGGAAGAGCUGAAGUAUAUAGAUUUAGUGUGUGGGCGAAAGCUCAGUCGAUUAUCGGGCGAAACCCGUUAAACGGUAGAAAUAUAAUACCAUACGUAUGUGUAGAAGCUAGAACGACGAGAAUAAAAAUGAGAUGAGUU